Branchiostoma belcheri (Belcher's lancelet) is the source of this 330-nucleotide long non-coding RNA. RefSeq lists it as uncharacterized. NCBI's taxonomy places the organism in Eukaryota, Metazoa, Chordata, Leptocardii, Amphioxiformes, Branchiostomatidae. The transcript is spliced from 3 exons. The record is from RefSeq and is a predicted model, not a curated record.
CCCCAGGCACCGCCUCCAGCGUACUCAGGACAGCCGGCCAGCAGGACUACGCGUGUUAUUACCACUACCACUACAGCAGACCAAAAUAUGGACUUCUGCAGUCGGUGUUGGAGGCGGGACCACCCGUAUAAAUGGUACUCUCUCCAGGGGAAGGGCUGGGGCUGGAUCGUGGUUCUUGUGCUGAUGUACUUCUUUGUGGGGAUUGUGGGCGUCAUCUUGUGGCUCGCCUGGGCCAUUCUGACGUCAGACAACCAUCAUCAUCACCAUGGAAGUCAUCAUCACCAUCAUGAUCAUGAUUACCAUCAUGAUUACCAUCAUGAUCAUGAUUUC